Long non-coding RNA from Oncorhynchus keta (chum salmon), 1236 nucleotides. RefSeq lists it as uncharacterized. NCBI's taxonomy places the organism in Eukaryota, Metazoa, Chordata, Actinopteri, Salmoniformes, Salmonidae. The record is from RefSeq and is a predicted model, not a curated record. The transcript is spliced from 3 exons.
GGUGGGACCGAGAGACUGAAAAAUAGCUUCUAUCUCAAAGCUAUCACACUGUUAAACAGCCAUCACUAACACAGAGAGGCUGCUGCCUACAUAGAGACUUGAAAAUAUUGGACACUUUAAUAAAUGGAUCACCAGUCACUUUAACUUCUUCGGGAUCGGUGUUAUAUGUAUAUAUUCUUACUCAAUUCCUUACUUAGAUGUGUGUGUAUUAGGUUGCUGUUGUGGAAUUGUUCGAUUACAUGUUAGAUAUUGUUGCAUUGUCCGAACUAGAAGCACAAGUAUUUCGCUACACUCGCAAUAACAUCUGCUAACCAUGUGUAUGUGACUAAUAACAUUUGGUUUGUAUGGAAGUGGACCUCGCCCUGGGGCGUCUUUUUACAAUUAUAGGCCAAUAGCUUACCUGUCUGUGUUACAAAAUAUUGCUACAAUCAUUGUCAUUGGCGAUAUAAACCCAUUUGGAAGUUGAUACUUGUUGUGGGCGGUCUAACUUGUCUUUUUAAUUCAUUUUUUUUUUGUGAAAAGGGUAAAGUGAAAGCUACUGGAGAUUGUUUUGUCUGACUUUUCUUAGGAGGUAGGUAGCCUUACUAAAAACCGGGACGUCAACAAAGAUGCUCGCGCGCCGCUUCAGGAAGAAUAAACGUGAUCAUAGGAACAAGGCGUAAUGGGACCGUCGCAAUUUUGAGGCAACCUCGGUUAUUUGCAGCUGUUACCAAUUCAAGCGUAUGUAUAAACUCAAGGCAAAUCCAUUUUUUAUGCAGUGUUCCGCUCAGAUCAAUAAGACAGUCGUUACUGCCAAGAUGCCUUUCAGGGGGAAAGUGACUGGAGGCAAGUGCUAUGUCUGGUGUGCAUGUGGACACAGCAAGAAACAGCCCUUCUGUGACGGUGCUCACAGGACUCAAGCACCCAGUAUCUCUCCACCACACUUCACUCCCGAGAAGGACAGCACCCUUAUGCUGUGUCCUUGUAGGCAAACCAAAAAUGUACUUUACUGUGAUGGCACACAUUUCAAGGUCAUCUUCUAGCAUCUAGUCAGCUCAGUGGAAAAAAAAGUGUUUAAAAUUAAUAACUUAUUAAAAAAUAAAUUAAACAUGUCAUGAAGUGGCUAACUUCCUUAUACUGUACUGCCUAUAUUGAUUGUUCAUAAAUCACUUGUUGACAAACAUUUUAUUUAUGAUAAAUGGAUAAAGGCAUUUAUGUUUUGUCACUGUCCAUAGGGUAAUAAAUAACAGCCUACUA